UGGGGAAUAUUGGACAAUGGGCGCAAGCCUGAUCCAGCCAUGCCGCGUGAGUGAUGAAGGCCCUAGGGUUGUAAAGCUCUUUCGGCGGGGACGGUCAUGACGGUACCCGCAGAAGAAGCCCCGGCUAACUUCGUGCCAGCAGCCGCGGUAAUACGAAGGGGGCUAGCGUUGUUCGGAAUCACUGGGCGUAAAGCGCACGUAGGCGGAUUAUUAAGUCGGGGGUGAAAUCCCGAGGCUCAACCUCGGAACUGCCUUCGAUACUGGUAAUCUUCGAGUCCGGGAGAGGUGAGUGGAACUCCGAGUGUAGAGGUGAAAUUCGUAGAUAUUCGGAAGAACACCAGUGGCGAAGGCGGCUCACUGGCCCGGUACUGACGCUGAGGUGCGAAAGCGUGGGGAGCAAAC
Molecule: ribosomal RNA, 402 nt
Filed under: uncultured bacterium
Lineage: Bacteria
Description: bacterial SSU rRNA
Rfam family: Bacterial small subunit ribosomal RNA
Source: RNAcentral